CCGUGGUGCUUGUCGGGCUGGGCUCUGAGAUGAACACUGCACCCUUUUUGGACGCAGCCCUCCGGGAAGUGGAUAUCAAGGGCGUGUUCUGAUACUGCAACAUGUGGCCAGUGGCGAUUUCGAUGCUGGCGUCCAAGACUGUGAAUGUAAAGUCCUUAGUCACCCAUAGGUUUCCUCUUGAGAAAGCUCUGGAGGCUUUUGAAACAUCCAAGGAGGGAGUGCGGGUGAAAGUCAUGAUCAAGUGUGACCCCAAUGACCAGAAUCCUUGAUGUUAAUUGGACUUGCCCUCAUCCCCCCUCUCAGCACCUCAGGGCCAACAGGCUGGGCAGGGGUAGGUGUGGGUUUGAUGCCAAAGUUUCUUUUGAAUGGUGAUUCAAUAAUUAUUAAUUAUAAUUCUUUGUAAACAGAA
Molecule: non-coding RNA, 409 nt
Organism: Microcebus murinus (gray mouse lemur)
Lineage: Eukaryota; Metazoa; Chordata; Mammalia; Primates; Cheirogaleidae
Source: RefSeq, a predicted model, not a curated record